RNAcentral lists this ribosomal RNA (253 nucleotides) under uncultured bacterium. RNAcentral's name for it is "partial 16S ribosomal RNA". It matches the Rfam family "Bacterial small subunit ribosomal RNA", at positions 524 to 776 of the family's 1533-position model. The record is from RNAcentral.
GACGAACCGUGCGACCGUUGUUCGGAAUCACUGGGCUUAAAGGGCGCGUAGGCGGGCUGUCAAGUCUGGGGUGAAAUCCCGCGGCUCAACCGUGGAACUGCCUUAGAUACUGACGGCCUCGAGGAAGGUAGGGGCAUGCGGAACUGUAGGUGGAGCGGUGAAAUGCGUUGAUAUCUACAGGAACUCCGGUGGCGAAAGCGGCGUGCUGGACCUUUUCUGACGCUGAGGCGCGAAAGCUAGGGGAGCAAACGGG